CCCUUAGAUGUUCUGGGCUGCACGCGCGCUACACUGAUGCAUCCAACAAGUUUUUUCCUUGUUCGAGAGGACUAGGUAAUCUUUUGAGAAUGCAUCGUGAUGGGGAUAGAUUAUUGCAAUUAUUAAUCUUCAACGAGGAAUUCCUAGUAAGCGCGAGUCAUCAGCUCGUGCUGAUUACGUCCCUGCCCUUUGUACACACCGCCCGUCGCACCUACCGAUUGAAUGGUCCGGUGAAAUCUUCGGACCGGGCGAUAGCCAGCAAUGACCGUUGCCUGGAAAGUUGCUUAAACCUUACCAUUUAGAGGAAGGUGAAGUCGUAACA
This 322-nucleotide ribosomal RNA is filed under the name uncultured eukaryote. RNAcentral describes it as "partial 18S ribosomal RNA". It matches the Rfam family "Eukaryotic small subunit ribosomal RNA", at positions 1470 to 1796 of the family's 1831-position model. The record is from RNAcentral.